Molecule: ribosomal RNA, 253 nt
Filed under: uncultured bacterium
Lineage: Bacteria
Description: partial 16S ribosomal RNA
Rfam family: Bacterial small subunit ribosomal RNA
Source: RNAcentral
UACGGGGGGGGCGAGCGUUGUUCGGAAUCACUGGGCGUAAAGCGCACGUAGGCGGCGCCGUAAGUCAGGGGUGAAAUCCCGGAGCUCAACUCCGGAACUGCCCUUGAAACUGCAGUGCUAGAAUCUUGGAGAGGCGAGUGGAAUUCCGAGUGUAGAGGUGAAAUUCGUAGAUAUUCGGAAGAACACCAGUGGCGAAGGCGACUCGCUGGACAAGUAUUGACGCUGAGGUGCGAAAGCGUGGGGAGCAAACAGG